UACCAAGCCUGCGGCGGAAUGUUGCGUUAAGGGAAAGGUCGUUAAUAAGCCCUGCACUACCUGGCCUAAGUUUGGCUUGAAUUGUUCACUGUAUCCUAACGGGUACUACGGCUCCACAGAGGGUGUCAGACCCGUGUGGCCAUGUGAUUAAAUGUGCGUGGGUUCGGCUUUAUUCCCUGAGAGUCGCGUUGCUUGAGCAUGCAGCGCUAAGCAGGUCGUAAACUCGACCUAAGGCUAAAUAUAUUCACAGAACCGAUAGUAAACAAGUACCGUGAGGGAAAGUUGAAAAGUACUCUGAAGAGAGAGUUAAAAGACCGUGAAACCGCUUAGAGUAUAAGCCAAUGGUUUUCUGGAAUGCUGGAGCUACCCUGACAAAAUGGUGCCCGAUUGUGGGGAACGUGGUAAGGGUAUCGUUUGUGCGAGAGGUCAUGAAGACUGACGGGCAAUAUGGUGAUACGAAGUGGCAUUGAGUUGAUAUCACGGCAACCGAAUCUCGCGGGUCUCUGACAGUGGUAACAGGGAACGUUCUAAUGAGGAACUGAACCGAGGCUGGGCUUGUGCGAGCGUCAGUUUCUAAGCACAAUAACGAAUUGCUUUCUAAACAGCACACCACAAUCCUUUAUAAGGUCUCCCUCGUGCGGCGGUGUGGAGAAAAGAUUUAUCUUUUCUCUCUCAAGCUAGUCGUGUCGCGUCCUUGCUCUCUUGCGACACGUUGUGGGCGACGUGUACUGCUCUCUACCCGUUGUUCUUAUGCGGAUGUGAGUGGUGUAAAUGCUAGAGGGCCGGCCGACUAUGCAUAUUGCCAAUCCAGACACGGGCGGAAUGAUCCUAUGUGAAGAUUGAAUCUGACCAUCCGAAACCCGCAAGGCUGCUUCAACCGGCGGUCCGAGUCAAUACACGAUAGUACCAGCGCUUCACCUGCUUUAGCUUUUGUGGAGGGUCUUUAACGGAUGUUGGGAGUGCAUUGGCCUUCGCGUCCUUAGAGACUUGCCCUCUAGUUGUGGGUGGACGGGGAGCGAGUGCUAUCGUUGUGGUGGAGGAGGAUUGGUGUAUUAUUCCAGAGCCAUCGGUCACGUCUCGAAACACGGGCCAAGGAGCAUAGCAUGUGCGCAAGUCUAAGGGAUAAGAAAUCCUGGAGGCGAAGUGAAAGCAAAUGGUGUGUUUACGAGUGUGUACGCACACGCGUAUUCAGUCUGCGAUCAGCGUAAUUCCUAUAGACCCUUUCGGGGGUAUGUGGAUGAAUGCGUGUCGCUGCUUAAACUGGGUUGAUCCUAUUGUAAUAAAGCCACACUGGCGAUACGUGGGCGCAAACCCCAGGCUCUCUCACUUACAAGGGUAUUCGCGUAUCCUUGUGAGAGCACUGCAGAGCGUGCAUGUUAUAACCCGAA
This 1388-nucleotide ribosomal RNA is filed under the name Epimeria loricata. Its description in RNAcentral is "partial 28S ribosomal RNA". It matches the Rfam family "Eukaryotic large subunit ribosomal RNA", at positions 125 to 820 of the family's 3401-position model. Lineage: Eukaryota; Metazoa; Arthropoda; Malacostraca; Amphipoda; Epimeriidae. The record is from RNAcentral.